This 403-nucleotide ribosomal RNA is filed under the name uncultured bacterium. Its description in RNAcentral is "partial 16S ribosomal RNA". It matches the Rfam family "Bacterial small subunit ribosomal RNA", at positions 30 to 526 of the family's 1533-position model. The record is from RNAcentral.
AUUGAACGCUGGCGGCAGGCCUAACACAUGCAAGUCGAGCGAGCGGCGGGCGGGGGUGUAUUGUAUGUGGGCUGCCCGUUAGGGGGGGGUAACACCUGGGGACGGUAGCUAAUACCGCAUACUAUCGGAUAACCCAUAGGGGAUUAGCUAGUAGGUGAGGUAAUGGCUCACCUAGGCGACGAUCCCUAGCUGGUCUGAGAGGAUGAUCAGCCACACUGGGACUGAGACACGGCCCAGACUCCUACGGAGGCAGCAGUGGGGAAUAUUGCACAAUGGGCGCAAGCCUGAUGCAGCCAUGCCGCGUGUAUGAAGAAGGCCCUAGGGUUGUAAAGUACUUUCAGUGGGGAGGCGUUACCGACAGAAGAAGCACCGGCUAACUCCGUGCCAGCAGCCGCGGUAAUUC